Molecule: long non-coding RNA, 821 nt
Organism: Drosophila biarmipes
Lineage: Eukaryota; Metazoa; Arthropoda; Insecta; Diptera; Drosophilidae
Exons: 3
Source: RefSeq, a predicted model, not a curated record
UCAGGCAAAGUUGUUUUCAAACCGGGUACAAUGCCAAGUUUGGGCCUGACUUUAUUAAUAAAGCACGAGCGAGGAGAAAGAUUGGCAAUUCGUAUUAUGAAUUAGAGGACCUGCAGGGCCGGUUGUUAGGUAAUUACCAUGCUAAGGACAUACGGCAGUAAGUUCGCUUCAGGCGGAGUCAGUCUAGGGUACGAUUACAAUAACCUAGCCUGAUUCUAGAGGGGGGUUUUGUAACGGUGUUUGAAGCUAAUGUAAAUUAGAUACGGCCUAAAAAUAUCCCAUCUUAAAAAUAUGCAAGUUUAAUUCCAACUUACACUCAAGCAAGGUGAUGCAUCGAUUUUUGUUGCCUGACAUAAGGGGCGAAACUUUGAGUGCAUCUGCUGCGCUGGAAAACCGAGCUUUAAGUUAUGCAUCAGCUUCACUGAAAAGGUUAGCUUGACGAGUCGUCAGCUGCGUUGAAAAGCUUAGCUUGACGUUUCGACAGCUGCACCGCGCGCAAGCGCAGCCAACUUAAGCUGGGGCGGUUCCGGUCAAAACACUUUUUUUGUGACCGCCCGCGAGCAUAGACGCGUAUUUGCAAUUGUGUGAAAAUAUUUGUGCAUCGAGUCCCAAUUAGGUUAUUUUGUUGGAUUUGAGUCUGGUCGUUUUCGUUGCUUACUUGGCCUUGUGGUUUGGCUCUUUUUGAGCGCGACAGUGCCUGCACAAGCGACACUGAGCGCCGUCUUUGUCGCCGCACUAGCUGCCAGCGGAGUGGCACCGAGCGCCUUCUUUGCGGCUCACUAGCGGCCGGCAGAGCGCCACUGAUUGCCAUCUUUGGCGGC